Molecule: RNase P RNA, 348 nt
Filed under: Lachnospiraceae bacterium
Lineage: Bacteria; Bacillati; Bacillota; Clostridia; Lachnospirales; Lachnospiraceae
Also listed under: 1 other name
Description: RNase P RNA component class A
Rfam family: Bacterial RNase P class A
About the family: Ribonuclease P (RNase P) is a ubiquitous endoribonuclease, found in archaea, bacteria and eukarya as well as chloroplasts and mitochondria. Its best characterised activity is the generation of mature 5'-ends of tRNAs by cleaving the 5'-leader elements of precursor-tRNAs. Cellular RNase Ps are ribonucleoproteins.
Source: RNAcentral
CGAGCGGGCCGGACGGCCGCGCGUGCCGAGCGAAAGCUGUCACGUGAGGAAAGUCCGGGCUCCACAGGGCAAGGAUAACGGGUAACACCCGCCAGGGGCGACCCUCGGACAAGUGCAACAGAGAUAUACCGCCGGGCUUUGCGCCCGGUAAGGGUGGAAAGGCGGAGAUAAGCGCCCGCCCAUCGCCUGGAGACAGGUGGAUGCUGUAAACUCUAUCCGGAGCAACACCGUGGAGGGACAUGCGGCCUGCCCGGCCGUCCCGAGGAGGUGGCUUGAGGCGUGCGGCAACGUGCGUCCCAGAUAGAUGGCCGUCGAUCACAGAACCCGGCUUACAGGCCUACUCGCGCA